Molecule: transfer RNA, 72 nt
Filed under: Camelus bactrianus (Bactrian camel)
Lineage: Eukaryota; Metazoa; Chordata; Mammalia; Artiodactyla; Camelidae
Also listed under: 2 other names
Rfam family: tRNA
About the family: Transfer RNA (tRNA) molecules are approximately 80 nucleotides in length. Their secondary structure includes four short double-helical elements and three loops (D, anti-codon, and T loops). Further hydrogen bonds mediate the characteristic L-shaped molecular structure. tRNAs have two regions of fundamental functional importance: the anti-codon, which is responsible for specific mRNA codon recognition, and the 3' end, to which the tRNAs corresponding amino acid is attached (by aminoacyl-tRNA synthetases). tRNAs cope with the degeneracy of the genetic code in two manners: having more than one tRNA (with a specific anti-codon) for a particular amino acid; and 'wobble' base-pairing, i.e. permitting non-standard base-pairing at the 3rd anti-codon position.
Source: Rfam by way of RNAcentral
GAGGGUAUAGCUAAAUCAGUAGAGCUUGUGCUUGGCAUGCAUGAGGUCCUGGGUUCAUCCCCAGUACCUCCU